Pipra filicauda (Wire-tailed manakin) is the source of this 318-nucleotide long non-coding RNA. RefSeq lists it as uncharacterized. NCBI's taxonomy places the organism in Eukaryota, Metazoa, Chordata, Aves, Passeriformes, Pipridae. The transcript is spliced from 2 exons. The record is from RefSeq and is a predicted model, not a curated record.
CCUCAUCUUGCACCCCGAACUCUCAUCCUGCACCCUGUGACCUCAUCCAGUAAACCGGAGACAUUUCAAACCCCCGGCAGAUACACCCCAAGAUGACUGAGGAUACUGAGGCAGGGCAAUCAGGGUGGCUCUGGCUGUGCUGCUAUGGAUGCCUCUGACAUCCCUGGAUUUUGGGAUUUAGGAGAGAAACACCCCCAUGGCAGGUUGAUGUGUUUGUCCCAUCCUGCUGUGUUUAUCCACCCAAGGUACCCCAAGGAGCUCAAACCACAGGCAACCCUGGCUGUAUAAUUUAAUGAGAAUAAAUUAAAAAAAAACCCA